UGGGGGGGGAGACAAGAUGGCGGCUGCGGGAGGGGGUCCUCGCUUCUCAGCUCCCCCGCUCACCCGCCUUCUCCUUCCCUGCCGCCGCCCUCGCUCCAGGAGAGAGCUUUCGCACCGCCCCCGCCCUGCUCGGUGCCUGCACGACUCCCAGAAAGUCGCGUCUCCCCUAACCCCCAUGCCCAGGACCUGAGGACAAAGGUCUAGCGAUUGUCCAUCCCCUCCCCCAGUGAGGACAGCCGGGAAAGACCUGCCUUUGUUGUGUACAGGUGGUAUCUCACUGUGUUAUCCAGACUGGACUCAAAUUUCUGGGCUCCAAUGGUCCUCUCACCUCAGCCUCCCAAGUAGUCAGGACUACAGAACUCCAUGGCAAUGUUUUGAGGAUUAAAGAGGAGAGUGAUGACUAUCCAAACGUCAGAGAACGCAACUAUGAGACUAGAGACACUGGAAAACUAAAAAAGUAACGGGCCUUUGCUGACUCAGGGAGAUGAUUUCCCAAGAGGGAAGAAAACUGGAACCUGAGAAAUAAGUGAUUUAGUAAUGUGGCUGCUAAAAUACGGAAAAACUAGAAUGAAUGGCUUACACAUUUUUGAAAUGAAGUUAGAAGAGGGUUAUACUGUGAAGAAGAAUGAAAAAGCCAAACAUUUCAUUCAGGUAAGCAUAUCACAUAGGAGAAACUCUAGGUGACUUUGGUUUGGCAGUGAGUUUUUAGAUACAACACCAAAGCACAAUCCAUAAAAGAAAAGAAAGAUAGAUAAGUUGGACUUCAUUAAAAUGAAAAACUUCUGCUCUGCAAAGACACUGUUAAGAGAAUGAAAACACAUGCCACAGACUAUGAGAAAAUAUGUGCAAAACACCUAUCUGAUAAAGGAAGUAUGUCUGAAAUACAAAGAACUCUUAAAACUCAGCAAUAAGAAAAUGAACAACCUGAUUAAAAUAUGGGCAAAAGAGCUGAAUGGAAACCUCCCCAAAGAAUAUAUGUAGAUGGCAAAUGAACAUAUGAAAAGAUUCUCAACACAAUAUGUCACUAGAAAAUUGCAAAUUAAAACAAGAUACCAGUAUACACUUAUUAGAUGAGCUAAAAUCCAAAAUACUAAGAACAGCAAAUGCUGAUGAGGUUGUGGAGCAACAGGAGCUCUCAUUCAUUGCUGGUGGGAAUGCAAAAUGAUGCAGCCACUUGGAAGACAGUCUGGCAGUUUCUUAAAGAUUAAACAAAGGCUUACCAGACACUCCGAAUGAAGAUCCCCUACAUGUCUUACCAGGGGAUAGGUGGGUGUUAGGAUGGAAAAGGGAGAGAGGAUCAACAAGGAAGAAGCCAGAUGAGAGCGGGAAGGGCCUCCAGGGUGCCCAUCCAAAGUGAACUCUGGAUUGGUCAGCAUCAAAAUGGGAGAAGUGAAACAUCUUUCCACCACCCCCAGGACUCGGUGUGUUUGCAUGACUGAUGAGUUGACUCCCUCUGGCUGUGAGCAGUACCUCCAGGUCCUUUCAGGGAAAUGGGCUCAAUUCACACAAAAGAAAGUAAAGCCUAUAAAUCAAGUCAAAAGAUAGAGCUCUUUAAAAAUUUGUGUUGCUGUCCUCAUUUUACAGAUGAAGAAACUGAGGCCCCAGAUCACAGGGCUGGUGAGAAGAACGUGAUAUCUCCAGAGCUAACACUUAACUACUAUAGUGUACCACACAAGGAGAGAGCAGCAUUAGAGAGGGGUGCCACUUCCUCUGAUGGAAGAUAAAAAAGAAAGAUUGCCAGCCUGGGCAACAUAGUGAGACCCUGUCUCUACAAAAAAUAAAAAUAAAAAAAUU
This 1794-nucleotide long non-coding RNA is filed under the name Homo sapiens (human). Its description in RNAcentral is "HSALNT0105548". The record is from RNAcentral. Lineage: Eukaryota; Metazoa; Chordata; Mammalia; Primates; Hominidae.